GGCUUUAUAUUCAAUUUAUGAUUUUAGAUUGCAAAUCUAAAGGUAUGGAAUGAUAAAAUAUUUUCAUUAAAGCUU
This 75-nucleotide transfer RNA is filed under the name Macromia daimoji. Its description in RNAcentral is "tRNA-Cys". The record is from RNAcentral. Lineage: Eukaryota; Metazoa; Arthropoda; Insecta; Odonata; Macromiidae.